AUAGUAAUGCUGUUCAGCACACAAGUGACCACAGCUUCAGACAGGCAGUGUCUGUGCCUGGCUGAGGAGCCAGUGGUGUGGAACUGUCAUCUGUGGGGUCAUGGCUGGACACCCCUAAAUUAGCAUCCCCUCUAAAAC
This 138-nucleotide non-coding RNA is filed under the name Lepisosteus oculatus (spotted gar). Its description in RNAcentral is "Eukaryotic large subunit ribosomal RNA". It matches the Rfam family "Eukaryotic large subunit ribosomal RNA", at positions 3016 to 3153 of the family's 3401-position model. Lineage: Eukaryota; Metazoa; Chordata; Actinopteri; Semionotiformes; Lepisosteidae. The record is from Rfam by way of RNAcentral.